RNAcentral lists this transfer RNA (74 nucleotides) under Gemmatimonadota bacterium. RNAcentral's name for it is "Gemmatimonadetes bacterium tRNA-Gln". It matches the Rfam family "tRNA". From Rfam's summary of the family: Transfer RNA (tRNA) molecules are approximately 80 nucleotides in length. The record is from RNAcentral. Lineage: Bacteria; Pseudomonadati; Gemmatimonadota.
UGGGGUGUCGUCUAGUGGUAGGACGCAGGAUUCUGGUUCCUGUUGCCGGGGUUCGAAUCCCUGCACCCCAGCCA